RNAcentral lists this non-coding RNA (26 nucleotides) under Rattus norvegicus (Norway rat). The record is from RNAcentral. Lineage: Eukaryota; Metazoa; Chordata; Mammalia; Rodentia; Muridae.
UAGAGAAGGACAUAGUCAGUGCAUGG